CGUUCUCAGUUCGGAUCGGAGUCUGCAACCCGACUCCGUGAAGCUGGAUUCGCUAGUAAUCGCGCAUCAGCCAUGGCGCGGUGAAUACGUUCCCGGGCCUUGUACACACCGCCCGUCAAGCCAUGGGAGCCGGGAGUGCCUGAAGUCCGUGACCGCGAGGAGCGGCCUAGGGUAAGACCGGUGACUGGGGCUAAGUCGUAACAAGGUACC
This 210-nucleotide ribosomal RNA is filed under the name uncultured bacterium. RNAcentral's name for it is "partial 16S ribosomal RNA". It matches the Rfam family "Bacterial small subunit ribosomal RNA", at positions 1283 to 1500 of the family's 1533-position model. The record is from RNAcentral.